Molecule: non-coding RNA, 8662 nt
Organism: Phoenix dactylifera (date palm)
Lineage: Eukaryota; Viridiplantae; Streptophyta; Magnoliopsida; Arecales; Arecaceae
Source: RefSeq, a predicted model, not a curated record
UUCCGGAAUUUAGGGAAGGUUCUUGGCCGUUUGAAAUCGGGAUGAAACUACAAAGGCGGGAGGUACGCCGAAGGCAAAAAUCCUCUUCCCUUCCAAACAACAAACCACCACUGAAAAGUUGAAACCAAGGAGAGAUGAAGUUCAAAGCUUUCCUCACCCAGGAUGGCGUCAACCUCCUCGACAAGCGCUUCCUCCCGGCCCUUGAUAAGCUCGGCCGCAUCUGCCAUGUCUACCUGACGCCCGAUCACGCCAUGUUCCUCCACAAUCUCCUCGGCGGCGAUGGCGUCCAGUCCGUCGCCCAGUUCAAGAAGGACGUCCUCUUCCGGGACUACCGCAUCUCCAGCCAGAACGCUGACCGUAUCGCCUUCGCCAUCGACGCUGCCCUCCUCCACCGCGCCCUCCGCAGUGCUGUCACCAUCCAGACCCAGGCCGGGGAUGGCACGGCCUCUAUCCAGAUUAAGCUUGUCAAGAAGCUCCCUGCCGGGUCUCGCAAUUCCGCGCCAUACCUCACCUUUGAGACAAAAGGCCUGCGCUCUGCUGUUGUGCAGGACGUCCCCAUCUCGAAGCCUCUCUCUCGGACCGAUGUUCUCCAGCUUCAGUCUGCCCUUGAUGCUGCCCAGGACCUCCCCCGGACUCUGGUUCAGGUACCGGAUCUGGCCCAGAUGCAGAACCUGGUUGACCGGCUCAAGAAUGUUGGGGAUCUGCUCGCCGUCGCCAUUACACAGUACGGGGACCUCCAUCUGCAAGUCUCGACCUCUCUCAUCACUGUUGGUUCAGAGUUCAGGAGGCUCAGGGUCCUUGGGGUGCAUGCCAAUGCUCCAGUGGGGGACCAGAACUUGAGUGCUCCAACACGCACUGAAAUGGCAAUUCAAAGGGGGGAGGCACUUUCCAUUGUUUCACGUGAGCAUGAAGCACCUUGCAAGGAGUCUGCAAUGCCAUUUGGCCAAGCCAGAUUGUGCCUUUUAUGGUAUAGCUCCACAAGGUGCUUGCUUGAUGGUGAUAUUCCAGUUCUUCAUCCCGGGAACAAGAUUGACGGAUAAAUCCAUCAGCUUCCACUGCAGACUUCCAGUCCUUGACCCAGGCUCUAGCUGAGAAAAGGCAGUGCAAGAUUACAUGAUCUCGAGUAGAUGGUUCCAAAAAGAUUAGACAGCAUCUCCCAUAUACUUCAUUCCUGGAAGGAAGGACGGUACUUCUAGGCUCUAGUUGGUUUCCGGCACCAGUAAGUACUGUAACGGUACAAGAUGCAGUCCCAUACCAUGCGUCUACCUGGUACCAUACCAUUCAGGCAAAAAAACUGGUACGAGUUCACAGUAUUACAAAGAUGGGAACUGCAGGAGGUGUAUCCACAUCCUCUGAAUGGACAGUAGGAAACUAAAUUUUUGUCUCUUCUCUUGUUUGCUGUUGCAUGUCCCCUGAUAUCAAAUACUUAAUUUAUAAAACAAUAACCUCGGUGAGUCAUUCAGUGAAAUUCCCUAGAGAAAUAUUAGUUACAUAUUAUUGUUGAUACUUAUAUCAUCUAUAAUAGUUUUUUAUGCCGUUAUUGCAUGCCAGCUUAAAGUUAUGGACUAUUUCACUCGAGCCAUGUGUUAUAUUUUUCCGUCUCUCAGCUCAUCCAUCUCAAAUAUGUCAACCAACAUGAUAUAGGUUUGUUAUUGAACAUUUUUGUUUCUGCUUGUUAUUGAGCUUUUGUUUUUGUUUUUUUUUGUUUUCUGCUCGUUUUGAGUCUUUUAACCUUAACCAUCUUAACAAUCACAGGAAAUUGGACUUAUAUAGUUUUGAACUGUAUUAUUCCUUAUCAGCUCGGUUUAGUCAGUAUUUCAUUCAGGUGUUGAUAAGUUUCCAAAAUAAUUGACUUCAAACUUGUAAAUGUGUUCCAUGUAAAUGUUAGACCAAGCUUGGAUGCUAGCUGGUGGUUCAUGUGGUAUUAAUAGCAGAUUUUAAUCAAUGUUGAUAUUAACAACGGAUUUUAUCUUUUCAAUCAUCAAUGAAGUUAGCUUCUUCAUAUGCAACAGAAAUUUGGCUAUUAAAAAUUUUUAUUCGAUAUAAUUUAUUAUAUUUCUAUAUUGUAUUUCAAAAAUAGUUAAAGAAAAAAAUUGUAUCGCAUAAAAAUUAUAUCACUAUAAUCCUUCCACCAUCAACUGAAAUGAACAAAAAAAAAAAAGGUGAAAAAGGAAGCAAGGGAGGAGAGGUUUGAAAGAUUAUUUAGAGGACAGGUUAUGGUGGGUUCCCUUGAUGGAGAUGCACCAACUCAUGUGCGGACCCAACUCAGACAUACCACCACCUUUCUUUAUCUCGUACUCUAGUUGUGUUAGCCCAUUAUUUAUUGCACCACGACAUGAUGUAUGCUUGGACGAUGGCCAUCAACGUCACACACGCUACAGAGAUUUUUUUUUUUUAAAUAAAAUAAAUGGUUAGAGUUUUUUCUGGUAAUCAAGUUACGGUAAACUAUAGCUUUGAAGGGAUACGAGGUGUGUUAGUUUGGUGGUUCGGCUGAGCGAUAUUAGAGAUAGAUUUGCUCAGGCCUCAUGCAUAGUUGUGGUGUUGUAUGGUUGUAUCAUUGUGGCUUGCAGAUCGGUGGCACAAUGGUUAUGUCAUGGCACAAAAGUAUCCUGAUAAUUGAGACAUCUUAGGUGAGCAGUAUUUUGGCUUGAGCGGCAAAGCUUUAGAGUUGGCAUAGAGGUGCUGAUCUAUAAAGCACUCUUAAGAAAAGUCUAUAUUAUGGCAUGGAGGUAUGCAUGAGCAUUGCGGUAGAUCUGAGGGGUCGGAUUGCUUGCGGGCACUCAAGAGUGUUGCUUGUGUCCACUGUUCAGUUCGAUAUAAUUGCAUGGCAGAGGCAUAGAGGUGCAUGCUUGGUUAUGGUGCUGGACUACUACGUCUUGGCCUGUGGCAUGUCAGGGUGCUACAUGGGUGUUUGAGUUAGGAAAACACUCACCCCGUGAUGGUUGUGUCCGCAUCACCACUGGCGUGCUGGGGAUAAUAAGCAGCCAAACAUACCAGCAGCAUCAAUCCAUCCUUGAGCAUAUGCUGUUUGACACUUUUUGUUUCUUCUUGUUGUAUUCAAGUAAGAGUAAUUCAUAUAAAGACUGCUUUCAACUUGUCGGUGACUAUUUUCAAUAGAAUAAAAAGGUAAUAGAAAGUAGAUGUUUGCGUGACAUAUCCACAUGGUUCAGAGUAUGGUUAUUUACAGUUCAGGCACCUAGGGCAUUGCUUGCAAUGAAGAUUUAGACUGGAAUUAUUUGUGAUGCAAGCUGCCAUGUACACAACAAAUUGCAUUACGACCAUCUAGAACCUAUAAAGCAGGCUUGAGCGAUGACAAAUCAACAUACACCCUCAUAACGAAUUUUCAGAGAACUAGAAUUGGUGUUUCAAAACUUUGAAAAAUGCUGUACUAAUAUGAAUGUAGAUCGAAAAUCCUGAAAAAUUUGGAUUAAGGGUCCUCUGCAAGUAAAUGGUUUCCAUUCUAAAUUUGAUUUUUGAGUGUAAUUUGUCUUGAUUGAUCUUUGCUUGUCAUUGCUUCCAUCACCUAUACAAAUGCCCCUAGGUUGCUAAAGAAAUUAAUCUUGAUUUCAAUAUUGCCUUUAAUGUCAUUUUUUUAUUUGCUUAUUUUUGUCGCUCCCAUAGAGAGUUCCGAGGAGAAUUCCAAUUGGUUUAUUUGUUAAAGUCAUUGAGAAUUAUUUGUUAAAUUAAUCGAUUUGAGUUCUAUUUUGACUGUAAUUCAUGAUCUUAAUGAAUAUUGAUGUGUUUUUAUCUUAUUUUAUAAAAAUAUUAAAAAGAGAGAGUUUUGAGAUGCUUAUGUAAAAAAACAAUUUGGUGCAUCCGUUAUAUGAAUUUUUGGGCUCAUUAAUAAUCAUUAAGAACUCAAUAUUGAAGUAUCUCAUGCUUACGGAUAAAUUCUUGGAAUAUUGAUUCUCUUAUGCAAUAUAGUACAAAAAAACUCUGCUCAUAGUAUUAGUAUUUAACAAAUAAUUUGCUCCCGCAAGUUGAAGGAGCAUCCCCAAAGCACGAAUCGGCGUCUCUUCCAGUCUUUAUAGCAAUUUGCAGUAGAUUUAACCAAUUUCGCCAUAAUGUUAGUGUGAGGAAAUAUGCGAAUAUGUGUUUAGUCUCCACAUCGAUGGAUAGAUCUUAAAUAUUUAUAUAGAGCAAAAAAAUCUAUAUAAUAUUUUCCACCUAGUUUUUUUGGAUGAGGUUAUGGAUUAUUAUAAUUGACCUCUGAAUACUUAUUCUUUGCACUGCUAUCAUGGUAUAGGGACAGCCAAGACUCUGUAAGCCUUAACAACACCAAUCUAGCGUUAGUGUGCUUAGUGCCCCCUCCCUGUGUUUGCAUGGCAUGGGGCUAGAUUCAUCAUAAGAGACUAAUUUGGUUAGGCCUAAAGGCACUCCUUAAUCCAUCCUCAUCAAUGCAUCAUCUCCUAGUAGACCUCUUGCACGUCAGUCUUGUUUAACGUGAAACUAACUAGCCCACCAAUUGGCUCACGUAUCUCAAUUUUUUUUUCUUUUGAUAGAGUUGCUAUAUUAUACAUCCAUUUGAAUGUGAGUAUAACAUAUCACAAAGCUGAGUGGGAAUGGAGGAGAUGGAGUUCCAGAGAAUCGAACUCAUAUGAUUUGUUACAUAUGACAUUACCCAAUCUGUAGCAUCAUUAGCCUCUCAAUACGCAGGAUGGCUUCAAAGGUUGCAAGAGAUAAGGUAAUCCUCAAAUAGUCCAAUAAAAGUGGAUAAGUGUAAUCACUCUAGGCUGCCGACUUGGAUACCAAGUGAUCAUAAUUUUUGAAUCCCCCUCUAAUACCAUUGGUUGCCUCAAGAAUAGUAGUGGCAUAGAUUAACUCUUCCAUACUUCUCUUAAUUUUACCAACAGAACAACAGUAUCAUAGAGAUGACAUCCCACACUGCCACGAAGAGCGGGCUAGGAAUGCGAACAACAAAGCCUACUCGAACAUUGGUUUAGUCAUCUAGCACACUGCUAUUGAAGUUGAUCUUUACAAAGUAAGGAUGUAGGAGCUCCUAGGUGAUGUAAUUCACAUGAGAAUGCACAAGGAUUUCAAAGAUGGAGUCCCAAUUUUCUCUAGCUAUCAAAGACCAUAAGAAAGUAUUUGAGUGGAUGAACCCUAAUGCUAGUUGUUGGACAUGCGACUAUUUUUAGCCAACCAAAUCACAAUCACAUUAUGAACCACCUAGCUCUUCAUCUUUCAUUCUUUUAAGUAGCCUAGGAAUGUGAGGCGAAGAGAUGGAUUAAAGUUCUAAAACUCUUUUCCAUUCACAGCUAUUUUGUAUUUAGCACUAAUCCCACUUUAAAUUAGGUUUUGCUGGAGUUUUAUUUACUUCAAAAAAUGAAUUUUCUUUUCUUCCUGCACUUCAACGUUCACUUUGCUAUAUACUUGGACACAUCUCAGCUGAUUACUGGGUUAUGAAUUAUGAUGCCACCAAAGCCACUUAGUUCUUCGCAUCACAGUUUUUCUUAUAUACUUUUAUAUAUUUUUAUUUUUUUAUACGACUUUCCAUCAUACCUUAAUUACAGGAGAAACCCUUCCACUUAAAACAUGGACAGCCAAGCAAAACCCCGAGGCAAAUACCCAGUACAAUGGGGAUGGAAUUAGUUAUAUAAACAAAAAUAAUCAUAUAAAAAAUUCGGUAUUAUUUAAAAAUUUUUAAUUUUAUUUUAAAUUUUAAUUUAGUAUAAUAAUAUAAUCGAAUUUUUAAAUUUGUCCAAUGCAGGUUCUGAUUAUAAAUUUCUUCUGGCUGCCGUAAUGGAAUUAUCUCGUAAUGUUAUAUGAGGCAUCAUCAUCUUCUGUGAUAUAAGCCGAUUACGUGAUAAUCUCGUCACGGCAGCGAGCAGAUUCAUAAAAGUCCAACUUAAAUAAAUUUAAUAAUUUAAUAUAUUAAUUAUAUUAAAUUAAAAUUUAGAAAAAAAUAAAAUUUUUAAAUAAUUUAAUUUUUUUGCAUUAUUUUUUUUAAAAAACGGAGGACGGAAUUAUAAUAGAAGAAAAAAAACCCCAGCUCCCGUCAAAGAUAUUGGAGGGAAAGGUGGGCAACCAAACCGAGAAGAAACGAAGAGAAGAGAGGGAAAUGUCAGAAGACAUGAAUCUUCCUUGGAAAAAGCAAAGAAGUGGAGAAAGGUCCGGCCUUUUUAAUCCAGACCCAAGAAACACUCGAAAAAUAAGAACAACUCGACCUUUGGUUGCAAUUUGGAACCCUUCACUUCCUUUCGGCUUCUUCUUCUCUUUGAUAUCUCGAGGGAAGAAGGGGAGAGAGAGAGCUCCGGAAGUGCCCACAAAUCGCUGCUCUUCUACACGAAGAUUCGAUUUUUGUGCCUCUGGUUGGGAGUUUAGGCGGGCGGGAGCUGUGGACGGAGAGCAGCUGGUGGAGCGGUGCUGCAAUGGAAGAGGGGAGGUGAGAGAGAAGGAGAUAUGCGGGGUUUGGCUUCUUGAGAUCCGUCAUGGGCUGAGGAAGCGGAAUUUGAGAUCGAAUUUGGACCUUUUGGUUAUAUUUUGAGGAGAGAGGAGAAGAAGAGGAGGCUCUGUUUUGUUUGUUCCGUCCCAGCUUCAUGAUGACCACCAAGCGUGCCUAUAAGCUACGGGAGUUUGUAACACAUGCUUCCAAUGUGAAUUGCCUCAAGAUUGGGAGGAAGACUUCAAGGGUUCUUGUUACCGGUGGAGAAGAUCACAAGGUCAAUCUCUGGGCUAUUGGCAAACCCAAUGUCAUACUGAGCCUGUCAGGCCAUACAAGUGCAGUCGAGUUGUUAAAUUUUGAUUCAUCAGAAGCUUUAGUGGCUGCUGGAGCUGCCAGUGGCAUGAUAAAGUUGUGGGAAUUAGUGGAGGCAAAUGCUAAGAACCAGAAUUGAUCCCCGUGUUGUUUGCACUCUAACAGGGCACAGGUUCAACUGUGUAUCUGUUGAUUUUCAUCCAUUUGGGGAAUUCAUUGCAUCUGGAUCUACGGAUACAAACCUAAAGAUGUGGGAUGCUGAAGGAAGGGAUGCAUCCACACAUACAAAGGGCAGAGCGGAGGGGUCAAUGCCAUUAGAUUCACCCCAGAUGACCGAUGGGUUGUUUCAGGUGGAGAAGAUAACAUUGUGAAGGUUUACUUGACAAAACUGUUAAAUUUUGGGAUCUUGAAAUUUUUGAGAAGAUUGUCACCAGGACCUGAGGAGGAGCUCGAGGAAGUGCACAUCCUUCAUAGCUAGGCACAUCUACCAUGAGGUGAUUAGAGCGGUAGAUUGGGUCGCCUCCUAUGUAGUGGAGCACUCUGGAGAGUUUUUGUGGACUGCCACGUCAACUGUCCCAACCGUGCUUCGUGACAUUUUAUUUUCGGAUUUUCUUAGAAAUAUUUAUACCAGGAUUGUAUGAGCCGUCUGCCCCACCGAACAAAAAGAAAGAAAGAUUUUUUUUCUUUACGAACAAAAAGAAAGAAAGAUUAUUGACCUUCUUUCUUCAAUUACAGACCAACAGUGUGCAUUCCAUGACUUCUAACCCUGAUGGGAGAACUCUAUUUUGUGGAUUGCAUGAAAGCCUGAAGGUUUUAUCUUGGGAGCCAAUAAGAUGUCAUGAUGUAGUGGAGGUGGGAUGGUCUAGAUUGUCAGAUCAAAACGCCCAUGAGUAUAAACUUCUUGGAUGCUCUUAUAACCAAUAUUGUGUUGGAGUAUGGGUUGCUGACAUCUCAAUAUGGUCCAGAUAUGUUCUUUAUAAAAAUUUGUACAUGUUCUGGAUUUUGUUAUGCUGAAGAAUAUAUAUUUAAUCUUAAAAAGUAACUUAUGAUGUAUGAUAGCUGAUAUUAUGAAUUGCAGCAGGUUGAGCCUUAUGCAGGGACCAGUGCUGCUAGAUUAAAUGGCCUUUCAGAAUCAAGAUCCAAUACCUGUGGUAAUCAGUUCCUGAUAAUUGACAACAAUAUAAAGACCGCUCCUGGAAUUGUCCCUGGUGCUCCCCGAAGAACUGGAUUAAGCUCUGCGCUGAAUGACUGCAGCAAAUUCAGCUACGCCACCAGGUGCUACAGCGUUAAAGACAAGUUCAUCGAAGUUCGAUGGAACAACCAAUUUUCACAAUGUUACAAGUCUGAUGUGGUACCCGUCGUUGACCCAGAACUACCUCAAGAGCUGAUAUGGCUGUUGACUCUAGAAAAGAAAUGGAUGAUGUGGUACCUGUUGUCUCAAAACCAACUCAAGUGUGGCUUUGGCUCCUGAUCCUGGAAAACAAGCCAGCAAUGCGGUGCCUGCUGUUGUCACCAGAACUACUCUAGUCAAAGGUGACUGAUUUGCAUAAACUGUCAAAUAACAGAGUUGGUUCAGAGAGAGCAAAUGUAAGAUUUCAAUAUAGAUCCAUGGGCAGCAAGAGCACCGAAACAAAUGAAAAUAUUGACUGCACUGUCCUUCCCGCUGUCAAUGGCUUUGAUCAAACAUCCGCUGGAAAAAAGAACCUGGAAAAUGCUUGAAUAAUUAAGGCUGGGAAGGCUGAAGAAAACCUAUCACUGGAGCCAAAGCUGAGUUACUCAUUUCAAAAUAGGGAGUCAAGAUUCUCAGAAUGACAAAAAUAUGUUUUCUGAUUGUAAAUAUUUCUUUCAAUAGAUCCUUGCUCGACUAUUUACCUGGCCUCCUAUCAUAAUACCUGCUUUCUUUUUAGUUUGUGCUUCUAUUGAUGGGUUUAAGGCCACAAAUUGGAGCUGCAAAUAUUAUCUUAG